RNAcentral lists this ribosomal RNA (492 nucleotides) under uncultured bacterium. RNAcentral's name for it is "partial 16S ribosomal RNA". It matches the Rfam family "Bacterial small subunit ribosomal RNA", at positions 29 to 507 of the family's 1533-position model. The record is from RNAcentral.
AGUGAACGCUGGCGGUAGGCCUAACACAUGCAAGUCGAACGGCAGCACAGUAAGAGCUUGCUCUUACGGGUGGCGAGUGGCGGACGGGUGAGGAAUACAUCGGAAUCUACUUUUUCGUGGGGGAUAACGUAGGGAAACUUACGCUAAUACCGCAUACGACCUACGGGUGAAAGCAGGGGAUCUUCGGACCUUGCGCGAUUGAAUGAGCCGAUGUCGGAUUAGCUAGUUGGCGGGGUAAAGGCCCACCGAGGCGACGACCCGUAGCUGGUCUGAGAGGAUGAUCAGCCACACUGGAACUGAGACACGGUCCAGACUCCUACGGGAGGCAGCAGUGGGGAAUAUUGGACAAUGGGCGCAAGCCUGAUCCAGCCAUACCGCGUGGGUGAAGAAGGCCUUCGGGUUGUAAAGCCCUUUUGUUGGGAAAGAAAAGCAGCAGGUUAAUACCCCGCUGUUCUGACGGUACCCAAAGAAUAAGCACCGGCUAACUUCGUG